CUUUACACAUCACACCAGGCAAAGGAGAAGCAAGCUCUAAAGGAAACCUAGCCAGGGAACUGAGGUGAAAAGAGCGUAUCUACUGAACCAUUUGCUUUUACAAGCCCGUGUGAGGAAGAUGAAAGAGCCAGAUUCCAGUUCUGGCUGUGUGUUUCCAGAGCCGUGCAAGUGUGGACAGAAUGGGGAGCAAGAUGGCCAAAUAGAAGCCUCCAGCAAUUAUGCCCCCUGCUAGGAACAACAAAAUAAGCAACACAAGAAAAGCACCUUCAUAGAAAUGAAAAAUCAGGUGAGCAAUCACAAUACCCAGUUUUAACUUCCUAUCACCGAAAGAGGUAUUGAAG
RNAcentral lists this long non-coding RNA (341 nucleotides) under Callithrix jacchus (white-tufted-ear marmoset). RNAcentral's name for it is "lncRNA (ENSCJAG00000077840.1)". Lineage: Eukaryota; Metazoa; Chordata; Mammalia; Primates; Cebidae. The record is from RNAcentral.